AUUGAACGCUGGCGGCAUGCCUUACACAUGCAAGUCGAACGGGAACAGGUCUUCGGAUGCUGACGAGUGGCGAACGGGUGAGUAAUACAUCGGAACGUGCCCGAUCGUGGGGGAUAACGAGGCGAAAGCUUUGCUAAUACCGCAUACGAUCUACGGAUGAAAGCGGGGGAUCUUCGGACCUCGCGCGGACGGAGCGGCCGAUGGCAGAUUAGGUAGUUGGGGGGAUAAAAGCUUACCAAGCCGACGAUCUGUAGCUGGUCUGAGAGGAUGAUCAGCCACACUGGGACUGAGACACGGCCCAGACUCCUACGGGAGGCAGCAGUGGGGAAUUUUGGACAAUGGGCGAAAGCCUGAUCCAGCCAUGCCGCGUGCAGGAUGAAGGCCUUCGGGUUGUAAACUGCUUUUGUACGGAACGAAAAGCCUCUUUCUAAUAAAGAGGGGUCAUGACGGUACCGUAAGAAUAAGCACCGGCUAACUACGUGCCAGCCGCCGCCGUAA
This 498-nucleotide ribosomal RNA is filed under the name uncultured bacterium. RNAcentral's name for it is "partial 16S ribosomal RNA". It matches the Rfam family "Bacterial small subunit ribosomal RNA", at positions 30 to 523 of the family's 1533-position model. The record is from RNAcentral.